This is a long non-coding RNA of Hordeum vulgare subsp. vulgare (domesticated barley), 1171 nucleotides long. RefSeq lists it as uncharacterized. The record is from RefSeq and is a predicted model, not a curated record. The transcript is spliced from 4 exons. NCBI's taxonomy places the organism in Eukaryota, Viridiplantae, Streptophyta, Magnoliopsida, Poales, Poaceae.
AUCACGAAACUUCUUGGCGCUGCACCGUGUUAGGGUUUACAGGUGGGCGCUGCCUCCUCCUGUCGUAAGCGCAGCCGCCACAACCAUGCACCCAUCUCUAUCCCUCUCUCCGCGUGAGCCGACGCCGCUCCCUCCUCUGACCCAGCAACCCUUCGCCGGCAAGAAGCCUCUCGCAUAAGCUCGCCGCCAUCCUCCACUCCCCCUGCUUCUUCUGUGACUUCUCCACCACAUCAGGGAACGCAUCGAUUCACCGCCAGUGGUCAAGCGCGUGACCGAAUCGUGGUGCUACCAGCCAGAUCCACGCGACACCCCAUAGGUACAUGAAUUUGGUUGAGUGCGCCGCCGCGUAGCAGUGCCUCUGCGCCAUCUACUACUACUCGUUUGCGCUUUGUCUAUCAUGAAGGCGAAGACGGCCAUGAGGAGGACUGGACCAACAUCGUCCUCGUCCUUGCCAGGACGUUUCCUAGUAGCGGAUACCUGACAUCCUCGAGCGGCGCCGCUUCCCUGCCUCCUCGACCUCGGAGUAUAGCUUCUCGGCAUCAAUAGAUUCUUUAAGGGUCGGCCCAAGCCUGAUUUUGCAGCUCACAUCCACUGGUGCACAAAAGGAGACCUCCUUGACCAGUUUGAAGCCAUGAAAUAGGCUUUCCCUUAUCCUUUCCCAGCUUCUGGACAUGACCGCCACUGUCGUAAGGUGUCGCGGCCGGUGCUUGGACCUGACCGUUGUCGUCCCACAAGUGCAGCAGCAUCUCCUCCCAAUGGCAAGCAAGCUGGAGCAGGGAAAUCGUAGGUGUUGAGGACUCUUUGAUGAAUUUUUUUCCAUCACAAAGGAAGGUCGGUGGAUUUCCGUGGUUGUUGAGGACUCUUGCAUGAUGAUCUGAAGCACGCACAAGAAGUAGAGGACAGGACAUGAGGAGGGAACAAGAAGCUUCAUCUAUCAUUGAUGUUAUGUCUGAUCAACAAAAACUUGUGCUUCUCAUUCAAUAUUUGUUGAACUAUGUUGAUGUGUGAUUAUGCACUUGUUGGGCCCUUCUGUUGUACAUCUGCACUUAUAGAACUAUUUUAUUAUGCACUUGUUGGGCCUUGAACCUUUAUGUGUAGAGCAGUCGGUGGAUGAUGUAUUGUAAUUCAUAUGAUGUGCUACUGAAAUGAAAUAUAUACAGCUAAUUUGAAA